UACGUAGGGUGCAAGCGUUGUCCGGAAUUAUUGGGCGUAAAGAGCUCGUAGGCGGUCUGUCGCGUCUGCUGUGAAAACUCAGGGCUUAACCCUGAGCUUGCAGUGGGUACGGGCAGACUAGAGUGCGGUAGGGGAGACUGGAAUUCCUGGUGUAGCGGUGGAAUGCGCAGAUAUCAGGAGGAACACCGAUGGCGAAGGCAGGUCACUGGGCCGCAACUGACGCUGAGGAGCGAAAGCAUGGGGAGCGAACAGG
Molecule: ribosomal RNA, 253 nt
Filed under: uncultured bacterium
Lineage: Bacteria
Description: partial 16S ribosomal RNA
Rfam family: Bacterial small subunit ribosomal RNA
Source: RNAcentral